ACACUGUCCUUUGGCCACCGGACAUCAUGCCUCCCAAGAAGGAUGUUCCCGUGAAGAAACCAGCAGGGCCCUCCAUCUCCAAACCUGCUGCUAAGCCAGCAGCAGCAGGGGCUCCUCCAGCCAAGACCAAAGCUGAGCCAGCUGUCCCCCAGGCCCCUCAGAAAACCCAGGAGCCUCCAGUCGAUCUCUCCAAAGUGGUGAUCGAGUUUAACAAGGACCAGCUGGAGGGUGAGGAGAAGCUGGUCUAAGCCCACUGUCCCAUCCCCAAUCCCCUGGUCAGAUUCUCUUUCUAUUCCCCUAACCCCAGUCCUGACCUUGAAACCUCCCAUACUAGUCCUCUUUUCCUCCCUUGUUCUGUUCACAUAGUUUCUGAAAUUCCUUCUGUCUGGGGGUGAUGGGAACCCUAGUCAGUGUCUACACUGAUCCUUCCUUAUACUUUAGAGUUCAAGGAGGCCUUCGAGUUGUUUGACCGAGUGGGGGAUGGCAAGAUCCUGUACAGCCAGUGUGGGGACGUGAUGAGGGCCCUGGGCCAGAACCCCACCAACGCCGAGGUGCUCAAGGUCCUGGGGAACCCCAAGAGUGAUGAGCUGAAGUCCCGGCGUGUGGACUUUGAGACUUUCCUGCCCAUGCUCCAGGCAGUGGCCAAGAACCGAGGCCAAGGCACAUAUGAGGACUACUUGGAGGGGCUUCGUGUGUUUGACAAGGAGGGGAACGGCAAAGUCAUGGGAGCAGAGCUCAGACAUGUUCUCACCACCCUCGGAGAGAAGAUGACUGAGGAGGAGGUGGAGACUGUUCUGGCAGGACAUGAGGACAGCAACGGCUGCAUCAACUACGAGGCCUUCUUGAAACACAUCCUAAGCGUCUGAGUGCUGCAGAUCCAGUGGGGUCCGGACACUGGGCCCCGCAGGCGGAAACACGUUCCAGCCACCAGGAGGCCACCUAUUGUUUCAAAAUAAAGACUGGGUUCCUC
RNAcentral lists this small RNA (970 nucleotides) under Pongo abelii (Sumatran orangutan). RNAcentral's name for it is "retained intron". The record is from RNAcentral. Lineage: Eukaryota; Metazoa; Chordata; Mammalia; Primates; Hominidae.